UCAAGCGACUAAGUGUAUGUGGUGGAUGCCUUGGCGAUCACAGGCGAUGAAGGACGUGACAGCCUGCGAAAAGCUGUGGGGAGCUGGCAAAUAAGCUUUGAUCCACAGAUGUCCGAAUGAGGGAACUCACCUGCUUUGCAGGUAUCCCAUCCUGAAUAUAUAGGGAUGGGAGGCGAACGAAGCGAACUGAAACAUCUAAGUAGCUUCAGGAAAAGAAAUCAACCGAGAUUCCGAAAGUAGCGGCGAGCGAAAUCGGAUCAGCCCAGCACUCGAUAGCAGCCAACUUACGGGAACGGUCUGGAAAGUCCGGCCAUAGAGGGUGAUAGCCCCUUACUGGAAAAGGCAGCUGUGGUACUAAGUGUGCGAUAAGUAGAGCGGGACACGUGACAUCCUGCUCGAAGAUGGGGGGACCAUCCUCCAAGGCUAAAUACUCGUGAUCGACCGAUAGCGUACCAGUACUGUGAAGGAAAGGUUAAAAGAACCCCGGGAGGGGAGUGAAAUAGAUCCUGAAACCGCAUACAUACAAACAGUAGGAGCCUCGUUAAGGGGUGACUGCGUACCUUUUGCAUAAUGGGUCAGCGACUUACGUUUAAUGGCGAGCUUAACCGUAUAGGGGAGGCGCAGCGAAAGCGAGUUCGAACAGAGCGUUCAGUCGUUAGGCGUAGACCCGAAACCAGAUGAUCUAUCCAUGGCCAGGUUGAAGGUGUGGUAACACACACUGGAGGACCGAACCGACUAGUGUUGCAAAAUUAGCGGAUGAGCUGUGGAUAGGGGUGAAAGGCUAAACAAAUCUGGAGAUAGCUGGUUCUCCCCGAAAACUAUUGAGGUAGUGCCUCGUGUAUGACUCCAGGGGGUAGAGCACUGUUAUGGCUAGGGGGACAUGGCGUCUUACCAAACCAUGGCAAACUCCGAAUACUUGGAAGUUUGAGCACGGGAGACAGAGCACCGGGUGCUAACGUCCGGACUCAAGAGGGAAACAACCCAGACCGCCGGCUAAGGUCCCUAAUAUUGACUAAGUGGAAAACGAAGUGGAAAGGCUAAGACAGUCAGGAAGUUGGCUUAGAAGCAGCCAUCCUUCAAAGAAAGCGUAAUAGCUCACUGAUCGAGUCUUUCUGCGCGGAAGAUGUAACGGGGCUAAGUCAAUAACCGAAGCCGCGGAUUCACACUUUUGUGUGAGUGGUAGGGGAGCGUUCUGUAAGCCUGCGAAGGUGACUCGUAAGGGUUGCUGGAGGUAUCAGAAGUGCGAAUGCUGACAUGAGUAACGUUAAAGCGGGUGAAAAGCCCGCUCGCCGUAAGCCCAAGGUUUCCUGCUCUACGUUCAUCGGAGCAGGGUGAGUCGGCCCCUAAGGUGAGGCUGAGAAGCGUAACUGAUGGGAACAAGGUUAAUAUUCCUUGACCACCGCUGAAUGCGAAGGGGGGACGGAGUAUUGAAGAUCAUCCGGGUGUUGGAUAUCCCGGUUUGCGAGCGUAGGAGGCUGACAGGCAAAUCCGUCAGCGGAUCUCCGAGGCAAAGCAUCGAGCUCUCUUUUGAGCGAAGUGAUUGGAUGUGCUUCCAGGAAAAGCCUCUAAGCUCCAGUUCAGCGGGACCGUACCGCAAACCGACACUGGUGGGCGAGCUGAAUAUGCUCAGGCGCUUGAGAGAACUCAGGAGAAGGAACUCGGCAAAUUGACACCGUAACUUCGGGAUAAGGUGUGCCUUUGUAGCGUGGAGGGAGAAACACCCCGAGCGCGAAGAGGUCUCAGAUAAUCGGUGGCUGCGACUGUUUAUUAAAAACACAGCACUCUGCAAAGACGAAAGUCGACGUAUAGGGUGUGAUGCCUGCCCGGUGCUGGAAGAUUAAUUGAUGGGGUGCAAGCUCCUGAUCGAAGUCCCAGUAAACGGCGGCCGUAACUAUAACGGUCCUAAGGUAGCGAAAUUCCUUGUC
This 1925-nucleotide ribosomal RNA is filed under the name metagenome. RNAcentral describes it as "bacterial LSU rRNA". It matches the Rfam family "Bacterial large subunit ribosomal RNA", at positions 3 to 1973 of the family's 2925-position model. The record is from RNAcentral.